GCGGCUCUCCAAGUUCUACCAGCCUUAAGGUGAAGAUAUACAACAGCAACCAUCAGGGUAUCUAAGAAAGAUGAAAAUAUUUGUAAUUUCCUAGAAGGAGGAUUUUGAUAAUCAGUCUUAAGCUGUGUAAUUUACUGUGACCUAUGGAGUUAAAUCUAAUUAACUGGUGGAACUGACAACAAACUGAUUUAUAGACAUUAUGCGACCCUAUAUUUUGUCUUCUGUGUGGAUUCUUCAAAAAGUGAACUUGGCAUUUUUAGAUCUAAUUCAAGUGUUCGCAGAAAACUUAGGCAAAUGUUUUUGUCUGUGAACUGGAUUUAAUUUUCCAUGUAGACAAGGUUCACGAUAUUCUUGCAGAAAUCGUUAUGGGGGAAUGGUAUUGGAGCCCAGCAUGAAUGAGAUUGUUACAUAAUUGAUUCACAAAAUAAACUGGAGAGAUCUGAGGCUGGCUUAGAAGGAGCUCCAGCCCCUGCUGUAUCAGCUGUAAAUAUGAAUCUUCCUGAGAUCCCAAGAAAUAUCAACAUUGGUGACAUCAGUAUAAAAAUGCCAAACCUGCCCUCUUUAAAAUAAAAUAUUUAAAAGGCCACUCCCAGGUAAAAUCCAGGGGGAAAAGUCAUCUAAGUUUACCAUGCAGUUGUUUACUAAAAAUAGCAGAGGAGAGUUUUAAAUUUUGCUCUUGGAUUUAAGUCAAGGUACUGUAUAGAAAUUGUGUAAAAUCAGUAUGGAAGUUCAAUGUUGCUUUUCUUGCUCAGUGGUUUAAUUGAGUAGUUCCAGGGUGAUUUUUUUUUUCCUUCUUAAACUGCAUUCCUAUGCCCACCUAAGGCAUGCCUCUGUGUAUUGGCUAUUACAGUAUUUUGAAAAGUAAGAUAUUUCUUUAAUUAUGCACAACCUAAAAUGUUGGUGUUUUGUAUGGAUCAUCAGUGCAGCAUUCCUUAAUUCUCUGCUAUUUGUCACAAGUGUUAUUUAAGAACCAAGUGUGUAUUGCAUGAAAACAUUAUGACCUUUUUCUCUUAGUUUAAAUAAAUUCCAAGAUAACUGGACGUUUAAAGCACCUGUCUGACAUCUACUUUAGCAAUAAUUUU
Molecule: long non-coding RNA, 1082 nt
Filed under: Marmota monax (woodchuck)
Lineage: Eukaryota; Metazoa; Chordata; Mammalia; Rodentia; Sciuridae
Source: RNAcentral